RNAcentral lists this ribosomal RNA (253 nucleotides) under uncultured bacterium. Its description in RNAcentral is "partial 16S ribosomal RNA". It matches the Rfam family "Bacterial small subunit ribosomal RNA", at positions 524 to 776 of the family's 1533-position model. The record is from RNAcentral.
UACAGAGGUCUCGAGCGUUGUUCGGAUUCAUUGGGCGUAAAGGGUGCGUAGGCGGCGUGGUAAGUCGGAUGUGAAAUCCCGGGGCUCAACCCUGGAACUGCAUUCGAUACUGCCAUGCUUGAGUACUGGAGAGGAGAUUGGAAUUUACGGUGUAGCAGUGAAAUGCGUAGAUAUCGUAAGGAAGACCAGUGGCGAAGGCGGAUCUCUGGACAGUUACUGACACUGAGGCACGAAGGCCAGGGGAGCAAACGGG